UGUUGGAAUUAUAUUCUAAUAAUCUAAACUUGAAAUAAAUAAAUUAGUAUAAUCACUAAUUGUUUUAUUAGUAGAGGAUAAGUUAGAGAAAUUGUGGGAGAGUAUUGGAUUAGUAAUGAGUGUUUUUAGGAUCAUGGAGUAGUAGAGUUUAGUUUCAGGUGGACACUAGUUAGUUGCUAUCACUUUGUUGGGUAGCCUUUAUAUAUUAUGUGAUGUAUCUCUUUUAAUAUAUCAGGAGAAAUACAAUGUAGUCUUUGGAGUUCAUUUGCUCUUGUACAUAUAUAUUCAUCUUGUUUAAUUUGAAGUCAUCAGUUUUAUAGUUUAUUUCUACA
RNAcentral lists this long non-coding RNA (332 nucleotides) under Daucus carota (carrot). RNAcentral's name for it is "long non-coding RNA (DCAR_LNC007047)". Lineage: Eukaryota; Viridiplantae; Streptophyta; Magnoliopsida; Apiales; Apiaceae. The record is from RNAcentral.